AAAAAUCUGGGUUCAUCAUCAUGUAAGGCAAAGGGGACUUCUCUUUCAAUUAAAGCUGGAAGAAAGCUGAAGGAGAGGUAAUUUUAUCAUUUUCAAAUCUCGUUAUUUUAUUAUUAUGAUUGGAAAAAUGUAUAAUUAAAGAAAAAUAUCUGUAAAUUCUUGCUAAUUGGUAGAUCUCAUAAUCCAAUGAAGAAGAAGGUGUAUAUAUUUUGUAGAUAUCCAACCAAGUCGAAGAAGAUAAGGGAUUAAGGGAUUGAGAAAAAGAAUGAAAGUAGAACACAAUUAGUUAAUGUCUUAAUGAAAAAAGACUUGGAGAUAAAUAUAAAAACGCACAAGUAAAGAGGAAGACAAAACUUAGAAUAUUAAGGGAAUAAGGAAAGAAAGAAAGAAAGAAAGACAAAGAUGAGGUUGAGAAGAAGGAAGGAAUCAGCGACGAAGGUUCUUGACUUUGGACCAUCCCUUCUUGCAAGUUUUUCCGACGACUUUGAUACCUUUCUUGAACAGAUGCUUCAGCUCCAUAGCCCUCAUCUUCACCUGAUCCUCGAAUGCUCCCAUCUUCUUCUUCUCCUUCUCCUUUCUUUGGAUACCUUUCUCUCUCUCUCUAUCUGUCUUCUUCUUCUUCUUUUCUCUCUCUGUUCCUCAGAGGCACCAGAGAUGUAUUAAAGUUUUGUCUGGGCCAUCCUCAUCUCUUUAUAUAUAUAUAUAUAUAUAUAUAUAUAUAUAUAUAUCUAUCUAUCUAUCUAAAGAGGAUGGGUAUACAAGACAGCUAUGAAUUAAAUUUAUUCUGAGAAAUGUUUAUUAAUAGAGAUAAAUGAGGGGAGAGAGAGAGAGAUUACACCUAAGCAAAGGCUAAGCUAAUCCUGAGUUUGCUUUAAUUAACAACUGAAUUUUGAAUUUUGGGGUUUUAACAAGAAUACACCAUGGUCUUUGUUGAAAAG
RNAcentral lists this long non-coding RNA (938 nucleotides) under Eutrema salsugineum. Its description in RNAcentral is "long non-coding RNA (ESAL_LNC001775)". Lineage: Eukaryota; Viridiplantae; Streptophyta; Magnoliopsida; Brassicales; Brassicaceae. The record is from RNAcentral.